RNAcentral lists this ribosomal RNA (264 nucleotides) under uncultured bacterium. RNAcentral describes it as "partial 16S ribosomal RNA". It matches the Rfam family "Bacterial small subunit ribosomal RNA", at positions 524 to 776 of the family's 1533-position model. The record is from RNAcentral.
UACGUAGGGGUCCGAGCGUUGUCCGGAAUUACUGGGCGUAAAGAGCUCGUAGGUGGUUGUCGCGUUGUUCGGUGAAAACUCAACAGCGCUUAACCUGUGGGCGUGCGGGCGAUACGGGCAGACGUAGAGUGCGGUAGGGGAGACUGGAAUUCCAUGGUGUAGCGGUGAAAUGCGCAGAUAUCAGGAGGAACACCGGUGGUGUAAACGCUUUCUGGACCGAUAAACUGACGCUGGAGGCAACGGAAAGCGUGGGUAGCAAACAGG